This 189-nucleotide unclassified non-coding RNA is filed under the name Steptorhamphus persicus. RNAcentral's name for it is "sequence contains ITS1". Lineage: Eukaryota; Viridiplantae; Streptophyta; Magnoliopsida; Asterales; Asteraceae. The record is from RNAcentral.
UCGAACCCUGCAACGCAGAACGACCUGUGAACAUGUAACAACAACGGGGUGAUGGGGAAAUGGGCCUUGGUCUUGAUCCCCUAAACCCUCCCAACGUGCAUUAGUGGUGCCUACUUUUGGGGAACCAUGGAUGUCUCGUUGGACUAUAACCAACCCCGGCACGGAAUGUGCCAAGGAAAACAAAAUGAG